RNAcentral lists this non-coding RNA (92 nucleotides) under human gut metagenome. Its description in RNAcentral is "yjdF RNA". It matches the Rfam family "azaaromatic riboswitch aptamer (yjdF RNA)", at positions 5 to 92 of the family's 101-position model. The record is from RNAcentral.
CGCAAAGAUAAAAACACUCUUCGGUUGGUAGUCCGAAGGCAUUUUAUAAUGUAAGUAACCUGCCUCCUUGGUUGUCCAUUCUUCGCUUAAUA